This 919-nucleotide ribosomal RNA is filed under the name uncultured bacterium. Its description in RNAcentral is "bacterial SSU rRNA". It matches the Rfam family "Bacterial small subunit ribosomal RNA", at positions 551 to 1490 of the family's 1533-position model. The record is from RNAcentral.
UUACUGGGCGUAAAGCGCGCGUAGGCGGACCACCAAGUUGGAUGUGAAAUCCCGGGGCUCAACUCCGGAACUGCAUUCAAAACUGUUGGUCUAGAGGCCAGGAGAGGUCAGUGGAAUACCGAGUGUAGAGGUGAAAUUCGUAGAUAUUCGGUGGAACACCAGUGGCGAAGGCGACUGACUGGACUGGUACUGACGCUGAGGUGCGAAAGUGUGGGGAGCAAACAGGAUUAGAUACCCUGGUAGUCCACACCGUAAACGAUGAAUGCUAGUUGUCUGCAUGCAUGCAUGUAGGUGACGCAGCUAACGCAUUAAGCAUUCCGCCUGGGGAGUACGGCCGCAAGGUUAAAACUCAAAGAAAUUGACGGGGGCCCGCACAAGCGGUGGAGCAUGUGGUUUAAUUCGAAGCAACGCGCAGAACCUUACCCACGUUUGACAUGCCCUGUUUGGUUAGUGGAGACACUCUCCUUGGUUCGUCCGCAGGUGCACAGGUGCUGCAUGGCUGUCGUCAGCUCGUGUCGUGAGAUSUUGGGUUAAGUCCCGCAACGAGCGCAACCCUCACCCUUAGUUGCCAUCAGGUUUGGCUGGGCACUCUAAGGGAACUGCCGGUGGCAAGCCGGAGGAAGGUGGGGAUGACGUCAAGUCCUCAUGGCCCUUACGCGUGGGGCUACACACGUGCUACAAUGGUAGUGACAAUGGGAUAAUCCCAAAAAGCUAUCUCAGUUCGGAUUGUCGUCUGCAACUCGACGGCAUGAAGUUGGAAUCGCUAGUAAUCGUGGAUCAGCAUGCCACGGUGAAUACGUUCCCGGGCCUUGUACACACCGCCCGUCACAUCAUGGGAGUUGGUUCUACCCGAAGACCGUGCGCUAACUUCGGAGGCAGCGGGCCACGGUAGGAUCAGUGACAUGAGGAUGAAGUCGUA